Molecule: ribosomal RNA, 262 nt
Filed under: uncultured archaeon
Lineage: Archaea
Description: partial 16S ribosomal RNA
Rfam family: Archaeal small subunit ribosomal RNA
Source: RNAcentral
CACUGACAUUAGAUACCCGGGUAGUCCCAGCCGUGAACAAUGUGCGUUAGGUGUGUCGGUAACCACGCGUUACUGAUGCGCCGAAGAGAAAUCGUGAAACGCACCACCUGGGAAGUACGGUCGCAAGGCUGAAACUUAAAGGAAUUGGCGGGGGAGCACCACAACAGGUGGAGCCUGCGGUUUAAUUGGAUUCAACGCCGGACACCUCACCGGAUAAGACAGCUGAAUGAUUGUCAAUCUGAAGGUUUUACAUGACUAGCUG